Molecule: ribosomal RNA, 425 nt
Filed under: uncultured bacterium
Lineage: Bacteria
Description: bacterial SSU rRNA
Rfam family: Bacterial small subunit ribosomal RNA
Source: RNAcentral
GUGGGGAAUAUUGGACAAUGGGCGCAAGCCUGAUCCAGCAAUGCCGCGUGUGUGAAGAAGGUUUUCGGAUUGUAAAGCACUUUCAGCGGGGACGAUGAUGACGGUACCCGCAGAAGAAGCCCCGGCUAACUUCGUGCCAGCAGCCGCGGUAAUACGAAGGGGGCAAGCGUUGCUCGGAAUGACUGGGCGUAAAGGGCGCGUAGGCGGUUGACACAGUCAGAUGUGAAAUUCCCGGGCUUAACCUGGGGGCUGCAUUUGAUACGUGGCGACUAGAGUGUGAGAGAGGGUUGUGGAAUUCCCAGUGUAGAGGUGAAAUUCGUAGAUAUUGGGAAGAACACCGGUGGCGAAGGCGGCAACCUGGCUCAUAACUGACGCUGAGGCGCGAAAGCGUGGGGAGCAAACAGGAUUAGAAACCCGGGUAGUCC